This 435-nucleotide telomerase RNA is filed under the name Prolemur simus (greater bamboo lemur). RNAcentral describes it as "Vertebrate telomerase RNA (ENSPSMG00000024184.1)". It matches the Rfam family "Vertebrate telomerase RNA". Rfam says of the family: Telomerase is a ribonucleoprotein reverse transcriptase that synthesises telomeric DNA. Lineage: Eukaryota; Metazoa; Chordata; Mammalia; Primates; Lemuridae. The record is from Rfam by way of RNAcentral.
UGGGCCUGGGAGGGGUGGCUGCCGUUUCUUCUAACCCUAACCACGAGGGGCGUAGGCGCCGUGCUUUUGUUCCCCGCGCGCUGUUUUUCUGGCUGACUUUCAGCGGGCGGAAAAGCCUUGGCCUGCCGCCUUCCACAAUCCAGUCUGGAACAAACAAAAAAUGUCAGCCACCGGCCAGUUCGCCCCUCCCGGGGACCUGCGAUGGCUGGCCCGCCCGGCCCCCGAGCCCUGCCUAAAGGCCGCGGUCGGCCUGGGGCUUCUCCGGAGGUGCCCGCUGCCGCCGCGAAGAGUUAGGCUCUGUCAGCCGCGGGUCCCUCGGGGGCCAAGGGCGAGGUUUAGCCUGUUAACGCAGGAAGAGUAACGGAGCCGGGUCCCCGCACGCGGUGCGCUUCCCUGAGCUGUGGGACUUGCACCCGGGACUCGGCUCCUACAUGC